UACAGAGGUCUCAAGCGUUGUUCGGAUUCAUUGGGCGUAAAGGGUGCGUAGGCGGCGCGGUAAGUCGGGUGUGAAAUCUCGGGGCUUAACUCCGAAACUGCAUUCGAUACUGCCGUGCUUGAGGACUGGAGGGGAGACUGGAAUUCAUGGUGUAGCAGUGAAAUGCGUAGAGAUCAUGAGGAAGACCAGUGGCGAAGGCGGGUCUCUGGACAGUUCCUGACACUGAGACACGAAGGCCAGGGGAGCAAACGGG
Molecule: ribosomal RNA, 253 nt
Filed under: uncultured bacterium
Lineage: Bacteria
Description: partial 16S ribosomal RNA
Rfam family: Bacterial small subunit ribosomal RNA
Source: RNAcentral